Long non-coding RNA from Cavia porcellus (domestic guinea pig), 1564 nucleotides. RefSeq lists it as uncharacterized. NCBI's taxonomy places the organism in Eukaryota, Metazoa, Chordata, Mammalia, Rodentia, Caviidae. The transcript has 2 exons. The record is from RefSeq and is a predicted model, not a curated record.
UCGAACUUACGACUGCCUGCUUUUCUUUUUUUUUUUUCCUUUUUUUGGUCUUUUUCCUUUUUAUUGGUACCGGGGAUUGAACUCACGACUGCUUGCUUUUCAAGGCAGGCACUUAUGCAGCUGAGCUAAAUCCCCAGCCACUUGUUUUGUUUUUGAGACAGGGUCUUGCUAUGUAGUUCAGGUAGGCACUGAAUUCCGGCGAUCCUCCUGUCUCAGCCUUCUCAGUGCAGCUGUGUCCCACCACAUGGAGACUCCAAAGAGCAUGAGCCUGGCUUACUACAGCAGAAAACCCCCAUGUCCCUGCCGCCAAGCUGGGCCUUAGGAGCCCAGGCCACUUCCCAAAGCAGGUGGGGAACUCCUUCCACUGGCCCAAGUGUCCCUAGGAGGCACAGAUUGAAGCUCUGGGACAGUGGGUGGAGGUGGCACUGGCACCGAUGUCCUCCAAAGGCCUCUACCUCUUCCAGCCCUCAGAAGGAGGCCUCAAGAGGCAGGGUGCCAAGUGUCCCUCUUCCCGGGGCAUAGCAGGCAGCCAGCUCCUGGGGGUUCCUCUGGGUGGGUAGGGUCUGUGCCACCCCAGUUCUCCCUCCCUGGCAUUCUCAGCUCAGCUCAAGGAAGCCCCUUCUCUCUGCCCCUUGCAUGCAGCAGAGACCAGAGAGAUGGAGAAGAAAUGUCCCUUCCCAAGGCAGUGGGCCUAGGGGCUGGGGUCCCAGCACCACCACCAUCCUUGCCGGGGCUGUCAUGGGCUGUGGACACCUGGAGCCAUGCAAAGCACAGGUGACUCCUAGAGGGUGGCACGAGGAGUGCGUCGGUCAGUGACCCCAGAGAGCAUGACAGUCACACUGGGCCAAGGCUUGCUACUUCGACCGAGCUGAAGCAGCCACUUCCAUCAUGGGGCUGUGAGGGAGAUGGCAGGAUAAUGUUAUGCAUGGUGAGAGGAAGCACUCGGGAGGCUGAAGCAGGAGGAUUGCCAGAGUUCAAGGUCCACCUGGACUACACAGUGAAUUUAAGGUCAGCCUGGACUGCACAGUGACACUCUGCCUCCCGAACAAAAUGCAAAGGUCACAUUGCCAAGGUAGCCUUGGGUGCCAGAUUAAGGGCUGACCUAGGCCCUGUCACUUCAUCCCCUAAACACACAGAGCUCCUGCCCUCCACCCGCAGGGGCAAGGACAGGGACAGUUCUCUCAGCCAUGGACAGGUGACAGGGAGCCACAGAUGACCUCAGCUGCCACCUGUGAAACAUACUGGUCACCGCGCAGGCAGCUUACGGCUAAGGAAGCUUUCAAGCUUGGGGAGCACCAGUCACCUCUGUGUUACCCGGUGGGGCAGGGGGUGACAAGCCCAGGUUCCCAAGAGGACAGAAAACACCCCACAGCAGCACCCAGAGCCACUGAGGAAACCAAGUCCGCAGGUAAAAAUUAGGCUUUUAUUUGAAUCACCAGGAGAAAGAUUCACUUGUGGUUCAAGUCAAAUGUUCAAAAUCCUAACAGGCCUGAAAGACCAGACUUGGGGCACAAGCCCACGAGGGAGGGGACCAGACAGACCGGGAAGAGGACAACCCCAUGGA